UGUUUCCUAUCCAGGCAGCACU
This 22-nucleotide microRNA is filed under the name Gallus gallus (chicken). Its description in RNAcentral is "gga-miR-1571". The record is from miRBase by way of RNAcentral. Lineage: Eukaryota; Metazoa; Chordata; Aves; Galliformes; Phasianidae.